ACCGACGCUGCUCUUCUCUGGUGAGUCGUCGGAGCUGAGCGCACAACCGCCAAUAUAUCACUGACUUCACUCCGCAGACCAGAAGGAAAGCGAAACUUUGAGUCUCCUUUUAAUUAUCUCGCUCACGUAAAGUCCGGUCAUUCUGCCUCAUGCGACACCAUGGGGAAGAUUUACCAAGUCAUAGUGAUCGGGUUGAACGGAGAGAACAUGACCAUCGACCUGUGUAACACUGAAGAACAGAUGAAGGCGAUGACAGUGCUGCAGCUCAAGAACAAGUUAGGCGAGCGUCUUCCAGGCCGGGCAGGGAAGAGCGUGGACAACAUCCGCCUGAUCUUCACAACCGAUGGGCUGGAUGACGACGAGAGGACCCUGGUCUCUUAUGGAGUUCAACACAAGUCCGCGAUCCAAAUGGUGAUCAAGGUCCCGGGCGGAGUCCAGCUCUAGCGACAACAGUGAAGCCCUGACACCCCGACCACCCCGACCACCCCCUGACCAGCGAGCACUUUGAUAUUGUACAGUUCAUCAUGCGUUGAUGUGAAUGAUUGUCAUCGUCAACUAUGUAGCAUAGGCUACUUGUUGGAUAACUUAAUGACGUAUUAAACCGAAUGCCUGGACAAUA
Gadus morhua (Atlantic cod) is the source of this 619-nucleotide long non-coding RNA. RefSeq lists it as uncharacterized. NCBI's taxonomy places the organism in Eukaryota, Metazoa, Chordata, Actinopteri, Gadiformes, Gadidae. The record is from RefSeq and is a predicted model, not a curated record. The transcript has 2 exons.